RNAcentral lists this ribosomal RNA (253 nucleotides) under uncultured bacterium. RNAcentral's name for it is "partial 16S ribosomal RNA". It matches the Rfam family "Bacterial small subunit ribosomal RNA", at positions 524 to 776 of the family's 1533-position model. The record is from RNAcentral.
UACGGAGGAUGCAAGCGUUAUCCGGAAUUAUUGGGCGUAAAGCGUCCGUAGGUGGCUAAUCAAGUCUGGUGUCAAAGCGUGGAGCUUAACUCCAUAACGGCAGUGGAAACUGAUGAGCUAGAGUGCGAUAGGGGUAGCAGGAAUUCCCAGUGUAGCGGUGAAAUGCGUAGAGAUUGGGAAGAACACCAGCGGCGAAAGCGUGCUACUGGGUCUGCACUGACACUGAGGGACGAAAGCUAGGGGAGCGAAAGGG